Molecule: long non-coding RNA, 812 nt
Organism: Dreissena polymorpha
Lineage: Eukaryota; Metazoa; Mollusca; Bivalvia; Myida; Dreissenidae
Exons: 3
Source: RefSeq, a predicted model, not a curated record
UACAUAGUUUAAGUUUGAUUCGUGAAUUUUCUUAGCGGGUGGUAGAAGUUCAUGUUGGAUAGGAAUUCCGAAAGCUACUUUCGAUUUUAAAGUACAUACGUUUAUUAACAUUGGAAGGAUAUAUUAAGUGGAUCAACCACCACAAUAAUGGGUGCAUUGCAAAGCACAAUCUCAGAAUCCAGUUAUGAAAAUUUUGCUAGUCCAAGAUCCAGUACGAGUUUCCUUCCGAAUAUUUUUAACGCGUGGCGAGAAGAACUUCUUUUAGUAACAGAUGAAAAGGAUAUUCUUAUCACAUCAACUGAGCUCAUGAGCAAGAAUCAAGAAACAGUCGGUUACAAUGAGGAUAUCAAACUUGUUACUGCGUAUAAAGUGCCUCUGUCGGGAUAUCAAUGUUCAAAAAACAUUUUUUACCAUAUGUUCGUGGUAUUUCAAACGCAAAAUUGGUGGUGGUCAAUUGAAAAAGAUACUGACCUGAUAACUCUGCAGCGCUUUAGAAAUGAAUCGGACGUGAAGAAACGUUACAAAAACACAACUCGAAAUUCUUGGAUAACCGAAAUAAAGCGUGACGGAAGCAUUAAAAAGGUUCAAGACCUUAUAAACUGGUUGCAUGAAAAUGAUGAGCUUAAACAAGACUUUCAUUGGUUUCACCGAAAUAGUCAACACUUUGGGUUCUCUGUAUUCAAUUUUCUGUCAAGGACUGAAACACUUUAAGAAAAGGUAAAACAACAUAACCGAUGGAGCUUAAUUUGAAUUAUGUAUCGUUUUAAAACAAUACAAAUCGAGUGAUUCUUAACAUGAUCGCUAACAUGGGC